UUUUACAGCACCUGAGCAAGGCAGUGUCUUGGAAGAGGGAGGAUGAAAGCACUGCUGCCAGGUAAGUGCCUGUGACCCCCAUCGAAGCACGAGAAGGCCACGUGCUCCAGCACUGUUAGCCGAGCCCUUGGUGUUGGGGCCAGCAGAGGCAGAAAGGCCAGUGAAGCGAGUCACAAGGACCACAGCACCGGAUCUGGCUGCGGCCCAACAGCACAGCUUUCUUCUCAAGUGUCAAACAGCUCAAACUUUCCUCCCUCCCUUCAGCAGAGGCAGCAGCCUCACUGGGCCCCUCCAGCCCGGCUGUGUUGCUUUGAGUCAGCAGGUUCACAGCUGGAGGUUAGGAGGUAGAGCAACCUUUUCUGGCAUAUGUGUAACACUUCUGCUCAUCCCCACCCUAUUUUUUGCAGCUCCUCCACAACACAAAGGCAGGGGGUGCCUCCAAGGCAGGGAAGGGAGACAGCAUUUGAAUGCAAGAGACCUUUACCAGACAGCCAGGUUGAGUAUUCAAGGCCAAGCAGGCUUCUCUAGAGCAUGUUGUACAAGAGCACAACCCCUCAGGCACGUAACUAGAGGAAGUUACUGCAUUCAUAAACCACUGCUGGCUGAACUUGAUAAGUUAAUUAGUGUCCAGAGCCAGUCUGAGCAGGAUACCUGGCCCGUGCAAGCAGGGAUGGGAGCAGGUUCUCAGCUUCGUCACAGCUCUUGUCUCACUUCACAUCACCUGGCUGCAACCUGCAGCCUCUCUGGGAGCUGUCACCAGCUGGGCGACCACUCCCAGCCACCCGUGGCCACACACUCUGGGUUCUGGGCAACCACUGAUGCUCUCUGCUGCUUAAGAGAGCCAGACUUCUACAGAAAGUGUCAGCUUUAACCUGCCAGCACAGCUCCGGCUGCCCUCUCAGCUUUCACUCAGCUGCCCUAAGAGAAGGGGCAAUGGACCACAGACACUUCAGGGGGUCAUGCCAGGGGCCUGCUAAGGAGCAAGGACGUGCCUCCAGCCGACAUAAGGCAGUUGUCUGGAGCCAGAAUAUUGCUGCAAGGCAGCUUGUCACCCUCUUCAUCCUCUUCCUGAGGGGGCACAGAGCCACCCAACAGCCUACAGGAGCUC
RNAcentral lists this long non-coding RNA (1108 nucleotides) under Athene cunicularia (burrowing owl). RNAcentral's name for it is "lncRNA (ENSACUG00000001387.1)". The record is from RNAcentral. Lineage: Eukaryota; Metazoa; Chordata; Aves; Strigiformes; Strigidae.